Molecule: ribosomal RNA, 765 nt
Filed under: Lentinus squarrosulus
Lineage: Eukaryota; Fungi; Basidiomycota; Agaricomycetes; Polyporales; Polyporaceae
Description: eukaryotic LSU rRNA
Rfam family: 5.8S ribosomal RNA (bases 223-376)
Source: RNAcentral
GCCGUCCGCUCCCUUCGGGUUGUAGCUGGCCUUCCGAGGCAUGUGCACGCCCUGCUCAUCCACUCUACACCUGUGCACUUACUGUGGGUUUCAGGAGCUUCGAAAGCGAGAAAAGGGGCCUUCACGGGCUUUUUUCUUGCCUAGUUGUUACUGGGCCUACGUUUCACUACAAACACUUAUAAAGUAUCAGAAUGUGUAUUGCGAUGUAACGCAUCUAUAUACAACUUUCAGCAACGGAUCUCUUGGCUCUCGCAUCGAUGAAGAACGCAGCGAAAUGCGAUAAGUAAUGUGAAUUGCAGAAUUCAGUGAAUCAUCGAAUCUUUGAACGCACCUUGCGCUCCUUGGUAUUCCGAGGAGCAUGCCUGUUUGAGUGUCAUGAAAUUCUCAACCUAACGGGUUCUUAACGGGACUUGCUUUAGGCUUGGACUUGGAGGUUCUUGUCGGCUUGCUUCAAUGUCAAGUCGGCUCCUCUUAAAUGCAUUAGCUUGGUUCCUGUGCGGAUCGGCUCACGGUGUGAUAAUUGUCUACGCCGCGACCGUUGAAGCGUUUUUAUAGGCCAGCUUCUAGUCGUCUCUUUACGAGACAAUAAUCAUCGAACUCUGACCUCAAAUCAGGUAGGACUACCCGCUGAACUUAAGCAUAUCAUAGCCGGGAGGAAACAGACAGACUUGAUAGUGGGGCUUAGAGCCCCCCGCACCCUCUCACCUGUGCUUAGGGGUUUAGACCCAAAAGAAAAAAGGGUCCCGGCUUUUUUUUCUCCGGGUG